Molecule: long non-coding RNA, 633 nt
Organism: Camelina sativa (false flax)
Lineage: Eukaryota; Viridiplantae; Streptophyta; Magnoliopsida; Brassicales; Brassicaceae
Source: RefSeq, a predicted model, not a curated record
AUUAUAUCUCUACCUUACGAUUUUACCAAUAAAACACAGUCGUACAAAGUGGAACCCUCCAGAUAAGUCAGAGGGUUACCAAUAGCAAAGGGAUUAAUAAUGGUUGUACUCUGCUUUAGCCACAGAUUGAUCGCAGUACAAGACUUCGCAAAACAAGGGAGUACAAAUCUUUUCUGGUGAAUUCUUGUGUAGUACAUCACAAAAGGCGUACAGCAACACGAUUUCCAUAAUCUAUUUAAACCUAAGAAAUGAACACAAACUCAAAAACAAAGUCAAGGAUCCUGGCCAAUUUCUAAGGAUCAAAGAGGAAGACAAACUUGCUGAUGACAAGCUAUAAAGGGUUUGGUCUACCUUUGUGUCAGUCAUGAAGUGGAGCUGAAUGAAGCAAUUGCGUCCAUUUCUUGGCGUAAGAGAAGGGCAUCAAUGAACAUGUCCAGGUUCUCUCCCUGCAUCAUAUCUUCAAUGGCAUGGUGAGUGAUUCCCACACGGUGAUCCGUCACUCGCCCUUGUGGAAAAUUGUAUGUACGAAUCCUUCCAGAUCGAUCUCCACUGCCAAUCUAUCAAUGAGAUUACGCAUCUAUCAGCUGAUGUACGGUUGACUGAAAACAUAAUAAAAAGAUUGUUUAUUUCACA